This 1240-nucleotide ribosomal RNA is filed under the name metagenome. RNAcentral's name for it is "bacterial SSU rRNA". It matches the Rfam family "Eukaryotic small subunit ribosomal RNA", at positions 495 to 1823 of the family's 1831-position model. The record is from RNAcentral.
UAACAGUUUUUCAAUUGGAAUGAGAUAUGAGAAGAGAAAAAAGCGAGAAACAAGUGGAGGGCAAGUCUGGUGCCAGCAGCCGCGGUAAUACCAACUCAUUCAUACUAAGUAAACCUUGAAGAAAUAUUGACGCUUAAAAUUUGACUUAAGUCAAAGUUCUUUUUGCAUGGGAUUUUGGAAUAUGAGUGGUGGAGUAAAAUCCGCUGCUAAUGACAUUCGAGGAUGAAAGAGGAAGUUAAUAUUUGUGAGUCAGAGGUGAAAUUCUUGGAUUUCACAAAGAUUAACUAAUGCGAAGGCAUUCUUCAAUUGCUUUCCUGUCAAUCAAGAACGAAAGUAAGGGGAUCGAAGACGAUCAGAUACCGUCGUAGUCUUUACAGUAAAUUUUGCCGACAAAGGAAACGGGAAAGACCUAGAAUGCGCCGGGCAACUGGUACAUUUAAUAUCCUCCUGUUUUCUCCCACGAAAGUUUAAGUCUUUGGGUUCUGGGGGGAGUAUGUUCGCAAGGCCGAAACUUAAAGGAAUUGACGGAAAGGCACCACCAGGCUUGGAGCCUGCGGCUUAAUUUGACCCAACACGGGAAAACUUACCAGGUCCAAACAGCGUGAUGAUUGACAGAUUGAGAGCUCUUUCAUGAUUCGUUGGGUGGUGGUGCAUGGCCGUUCUUAGUUGGUGGUGCGAGCUGUCUGGUUGAUUCCGUUAACGAACGAGACCUUUGUAAGAUAAUAGUUGAAUCAAGAUAUUGCGUCAAGGCUGGAGCUCACGUAUUGGGGAAGGAUCCGUUCCUCCCUUUACUCUGGGUUUCAGUUGCAAUCUAGAUUACAACUUCUUUCUCAGACAAAUGAAAAAAAUUCAUUGGAAGUUGGAGGCAAAAACAGGUCUGUGAUGCCCUUCGAUGUUCUGGGCUGCACGCGCGCUACAAUGACAAAGUCAACAAGUUUUUUCCUUGCUUGAAAGGGCUGGGUAAUCUCUAAAACUUUGUCGUAAUAAGGAUCGCUGAUUGAAACUAUUCGGCGUGAAUCAGGAAUGCCUUGUAAUUAUAAGUCAUCAGCUUAUAGUGAAUACGUCCCUGCCUUUUGUACACACCGCCCGUCGCUCCUACCAAUUGGUAUAAACGGUGAAAAGUUCGGAGACAACUUUCGUUCAGAGUCAAAUCUGAUGUUAGAUAUCAAAGUUCUUUAAAUCUUUUGUACUAGAGGAAGGAGAAGUCGUAACAAGGUUUCCGUAGGUGAACCUGCGGAAG